CGCGCCCGCGUGGAGAUCUUCGCAGGUCGCUCGUUUUCUACUUCGUUGCGCUGUCUCCGUGUUUGGGGCACCUCGCUAACUUUCCACCGAACCCAGUACGCCCAGUCGCACGCACAGCCGGACACGCGCUGAUGAGUCUUCAGUUUUACGAUGGGGGGUCCUUUGCAGACUGCCCAUUCAUCCAGUACCCGCACGGCAUGGGGAAGCAGCGAGCACCCGCCAUGGUGCUCGCCGCCGCCGCCGCCGCUGUCUCCCAAGCGGCGACAAGCACAAGUUCUCCGAUGGAGGCGGCAGUGCGCCGCGUUCCAGGCGCCGCGGGUGCUGCGCAAGUCAGCAGAAGCGGUCCACUGGCAUCAGCAUACUCGUCCCUACAACCCUCCACCUCGGAGGCCCUGACGGUGGUCCCACAAGGGACUUCCGUGCUGAGGUGCGGCACUUCGGCUCUUGCCACGACCGCCUCUUCCUCCGCGACAGGUGAAACGGCUGAAGAGACAACAGCGCGCACCGCACAGAUGCUUCAAGAAACCCUAGCCGCUUCUCGCCAGACCACAGAGGUGUUCGAUAGCCACAGCCUCGCUGUGCAGAGCCGCCUCCGCUCCGCCUCGAACAAGUCGAACAGCCAGGCACUCGCGCUGACGAUCACGGCGGCGGGCGGCAGCUCCACCGGCGUCGAUGGAGCGAUGCAUGACCCGGGCCCCAUUGUGCGCUCGCCGACGACGAAAAAAAAGUCCCUCUUCACAGAUGCCCUGCUGCUGCGCUCCGGCGGCCGCAGCAGCAACGACAACAAGGGGCAGCAGGCGGGCGAUGGCGGCAGCGCAUCCGGCGACCUCGCCGCGAGAACGUCGGCUUCGUCAAUGAUGCUGGCGGCGGUCUCGGAGUACAGCGCUGGUGGAGGUGGCGCCGCCGCCGCUUCGGCCAACAACCGCAAGGUGGUGGUCCCGUUCUGCGUGAGCAGCUGGCAGAAUCGUAAAAAGCUUAUCGUGCCGGUGGAGCAGCGUCUUGCCCAGCAGCAGGAUGACCGACUGGAUCCGGGUGGCGGCAUCGGUGACGCCGUGAUGGACCUGGCGGUGGCGAUGCAGCAGGCAUCGAAGGAGGUGGCCGCGGAGCUGGCAGAGAAGGAGAGGGCAAAGGCAGAGGAAGAAGAGCGCCGCCAAGCCGCGCUGGAGGCAGCGGAGGCGGAGAAGGCGCGUCAGCUGCUCGAGCAGAAGGCGGCCGAGCUUGCAGCCCAUGCGCAGCGCCGGGAGACACGGGAGCAGCGGAUGGAGCGAAUCCGGCUGGAGCGCGAGCUGCGAGAGCAGGAGAAGCUGGCGAAGCAACAGCAGCGACUGCGCGAGCGGGCCGCCACGAGGCUGAACAUCACCGUGGAGGAUCUCGAGGCGGACGAGCAGCUACUAAGAUCCGUAGAGGAAGCUUCUGUAUACGCGAAGAGCGGUAGUGGUGCUAUGGCCCCGGCCGACCCCACGGCGGCGCCAUCGUCCAAGGAGAAGCAAGAGCCAUUCGGGGGGCUCGGCCGACAAGUCCCCAGCGACAACGGCGACGACGACGGCGACGGCACCGUAGGCGGUAGCAGGAAGCCUGCCGUGCGCGGCGGCGUCUUCGCGAGUGCGGUAAUCAGCAAUGAGGGCAUUCAGCGCGAGAUGCAGGCACUCGCCGAAGUGGAACAGCAGCAGCACCACCACCACCACGAUGGCAUUCGUCUGCGCGAGGACGACGAGGCGAGUGUCGCCGACGAUGACGACGACGACGGCGGCAGCUUCCAGCUCAACAAGUUCGUCAAGAAGAAGCAACGUCUGUGACGCACGCAGGCGAGAGCUUGAUCGAUGUGUCCGCGUGGAUGGUAAUGGAGGUGCGCAAAGUAUAGCUUGGUGUGUGCGUGUGUGUGUGUGUGUGCGUGUGUGUGUGUGCGUGUGUGUGUGCGUGUGCGUGUGCGUGUGCGUGUGUGUGUGCGUGUGUGUGUGUGUGUGUGUGUGUGCGUGUGUGCGUGUGUGUGUGUGUGUGUGUGCGUGUGUGUGUGUGUGUGCGUGUGUGUGUGCGUGUGCGUGUGUGCGUGUGCGUGUGUGCGUGUGCGUGUGUGCGUGUGUGUGUGCUGAGCGCGCUCUGAGCGUGGACAGCUCGACCUUUG
This 2122-nucleotide unclassified non-coding RNA is filed under the name Leishmania donovani. RNAcentral's name for it is "gene:LdHU3.15.1390(CDS-product:SKIP/SNW_domain_co ntaining_protein_putative)". Lineage: Eukaryota; Euglenozoa; Kinetoplastea; Trypanosomatida; Trypanosomatidae. The record is from RNAcentral.